This 914-nucleotide ribosomal RNA is filed under the name uncultured archaeon. Its description in RNAcentral is "bacterial SSU rRNA". It matches the Rfam family "Archaeal small subunit ribosomal RNA", at positions 1 to 921 of the family's 1478-position model. The record is from RNAcentral.
UUCCGGUUGAUCCCGCCGGAGGCUACCGCUAUUGGAGUUCGAUUAAGCCAUGCGAGUCGCGAGUCUUAGGGACUCGGCGUACCGCUCAGUAACACGUGGGUAACCUGCGCUAUGCUGGGGGAUAACCUCGGGAAACUGAGAAUAAUACCCCAUAGUUCACCACGCCUGGAACGGUGGGUGGACCAAAGCUCCGGCGGCAUAGGAUGGGCCUGCGGCGUAUCAGGUUGUAGGGGGUGUAAUGUACCCUCUAGCCCUCUACGCGUACGGGUGUUGAGAGACAUCGCCCGGAGAUGGAUUCUGAGACACGAAUCCAGACCCUACGGGGUGCAGCAGGCGCGAAAACUUGGCAAUGCGAGAAAUCGUGGCCAGGGAACUCCAAGUGCAUCGGGUAAGACCGAUGCUUUUCUUGACUCUUCAAAGGUCUUGGAAUAAGGGGUGGGUAAGGACGGUGCCAGCCGCCGCGGUAAUACCGGCGCCCCAAGUGGUAGUCGCUUUUAUUGGGCCUAAAACGUCCGUAGCCGGUCUGGUACAUUCGUGGGUAAAUCAACCAGCUCAACUGGUUGAAUUCUGCGAGCACGGCCAGACUUGGGACCGGGAGAGGCGUGGGGUACUCUCAGGGUAGGGGUAAAAUCCUGUCAUCCUGAGAGGACCACCUGUUGCGAAGGCGCCACACUAGAACGGAUCCGACGGUCAGGGACGAAGCCUAGGGGCACGAACCGGAUUAGAUACCCGGGUAGUCCUAGGUGUAAACGCUGUGGACUUGAUGUUGGGGGCGCUCCGAGCGCACUCAGUGUCGAAGCGAAGGUGAUAAGUCCACUGCCUGGGGAGUACGGUCGCAAGGCUGAAACUUAAAGGAAUUGGCGGGGGAGCACCGCAACCUGAGGAUUGUGCGGUUUAAUUGGAUUCAACGCCGG